Long non-coding RNA from Biomphalaria glabrata, 519 nucleotides. RefSeq lists it as uncharacterized. NCBI's taxonomy places the organism in Eukaryota, Metazoa, Mollusca, Gastropoda, Planorbidae. The record is from RefSeq and is a predicted model, not a curated record. The transcript is spliced from 3 exons.
AUAGGAGUUUCAUUAAUUUAUUUACUCAGAUGCUGAAACAGACAUCUGGCAUAUUCCUAUAAUCAGUAUCAUGGCCUUUGUAUACAACAAAAUUGAUUGGAACUCCUAGACUAGAAAUAUAAUUCAAGAUUUAAAUAAGGCACUGGUCAUAGUUUUAGAAAGUGUGGCUAGCAUUCUGAAGGAAGACAGAGAGAUGGAAAGACAUCAAAGAAUGGGCAGGUCUGCCAAGAAAUGGUUUAUCCAGGGCUAAGUACAGAGAGGAAUAUAGAAGGGCUGUUGACAGAUCUUGUGUGGUGCCCCCAUGGUUCAACAGACUAAUUGAUUGAAAAUAAUACCAGGGUUAUGCUCCUUUGACCAUUGAGUUCCAGGAUGAAGAAUGAAAGACAGAGAGCAAUGUGAAGACAUGAAAGAAUGGGCAGGUCUGCCAUGAAAUGGUUUAUCCAGGGCUAAAUACAGAGAGAAAUAUAGAAGGGCUGUUGACAGAUCUUGUGUGGUGGCCCCAUGGUUCAACAGACUGAU